This is an RNA transcript of Gallus gallus (chicken), 5442 nucleotides long. It is a transcript of the gene named DIRAS family GTPase 2, with no coding region annotated. Lineage: Eukaryota; Metazoa; Chordata; Aves; Galliformes; Phasianidae. The record is from RefSeq and is a predicted model, not a curated record. The transcript is spliced from 5 exons.
ACCGGCGGCUCCUACCGCUCCCGGGAGCGAGCAGAGCGGCGCGGCUCCGCCAACAGUGGAGCUGUACCCGAGCUAGGCGUUGCGGGAGCCGCUGCUUCCUCGUCUUCUCUCGCAGCCGCGGCCACUUCCUCAACGAACUGUCAGCGCUCUGCCCCCCUCCCUCGGGGCAAUUCCGGCCCCCGGCCGGUCAGAUCGUCCGUCGAAGAGGGUGCGCGGUGUGGUACCUGCGGCACCCCGAAGUGCGGGUCGCUGUGUCCGGUGGUGUCAGGUGAAUAAGGGGCUGCUCAGCAGCGCGAGUGGGAAAGCAAAGGGCGGCAAGGGUGGUAGUCUCUUGGGAGAAAACGAAUAUACCUACUGAUUGUCAGCAAUGAAAUUCAAUCUAUUUCGGAACUUCUGUGUUUUGGUGAGAAAAUUACUUCUGGAGGAGCAAAAACUGUUUUUAUUUGAAACAACAUCGGGUCUUCGUGCUCUGUUUCAGUCAAAAAUAUAUUUCGGUCAGAAAUACUAUUUACUAGCUUUGUAGAAGCUGCUGGCGCGGAAGAGACUAUACCAGCUCCAUGCAGAGACCUGAAGAAAACCCACUCUCCAAGGCUCCACAUACCAGGGCGUCAGCUCCCGCCACAGGUGUCUACACAGCCAAAAGGCGGCAACAGCUUUCGCCAGGACGCGCUGCUUACUGGCACCGAGCGGCACCUCAGGCGAACCCGCAGCCGCAAUUCUCCUCCGGCCAUGGCCGCUGCGUGACGGCGCCGUGUCCCGUGAUGGGCAGCGCUGGCAGGAGGCGAGGUCUCUUUCCUGCUCCCUUGUAGUAAAUGAUUGCUGCAGUGAGAGGGCCUGCUUACUGUAAGAAAGAGGUGAUGCAAGGAAGCACUGGCUCUCCUUCCACAUCCAUUAUACUAAAUAGAGCUGUCAAAGGGUGAAAGCUUCGUGUUUCAUACCAGUUAAGGAGGUCCCUUUUUUUUGUUCUGAUUGCUAUAGUGCAGAUACAUAUCUGAAUUGGCACUGCCUAUAUGUGUGAGAACAAGGCAAAGAAUUAAGAAAACCUGAUUCUUGGAUGUCUUUUGAUGGCACAGCUCUUUUCCUAACACCAUCCAAAAGUAGAGCACAAUCUACGGGAAAUAGCUUUUGGAAAGUUAUUACUGUGCUAUGAACAAGAUUUUAAGCAGAAGUUUCAUCUUAAAUUGGUGAAAAAAUAUAAAUGUUUAAUGACUUUAAAUUAUAUGUGAGCAAGAGAACUAGACCUGGUAAGGGUGGAGUUAACUUUCUGCAGCAGCUGAUAUGGUGCCUAUCUGGGAUUUUGAGUAAUAGAGUAUGAGUAACACAUUUUCUUUAAUGCUGGGCACUGCUGCUCACUGAUGAGGCUUCCUGUGUUUUGCACUCUGACUCAAUCCUCACCAAGUGAGCAAGCAACAGGCAAGAUCGAAGAGGAUGCUGAUUGGACCAGCUCCAGCAGACCAACAGGUUAUACCACAGCCAAAAUCAAAGUGGGGAUAGAUGGAAAAAGGCAGGGGCUAGUGCUGUCCGCCUGCUCACAGACCAGCUGAGCAUCACUCACCUCAUGGAGGAGGUUGGUCCAGCUGGUCUGUGCAAGAAGGGAGCCACAUGGUCCUGGAAAUCCUUCAGAGCUCCACUGAAGAACCCAGGAACUACUUACAGAUGAAGCUUUCCUGAAGAUUUGUGAGGAUACUUCAAGCAAGCAGUUUAACAUAUCAGCAGUACACUAAGGAGAGCUGUUCCAUCCCUUGGAUCAUUUUUGUGGCCCUCCUCUGGACGUGCUCCAACUGGUCUAUGUCUCUCCUGUACUGAGGACUCCACAUCUGAAUGCAGUACUCCAGAUUUUCCCCUCUAGCUGAACAACAGACACACUGAGAAACAUGCCAGAGCAAAGCAAUGAUUACAGGGUGGUUGUGUUUGGGGCUGGAGGAGUUGGCAAAAGUUCUUUGGUCUUGAGAUUUGUGAAGGGCACUUUCAGAGAGAGCUACAUCCCCACCAUUGAAGACACCUACCGGCAGGUGAUCAGCUGUGAUAAAAGCAUAUGCACUUUGCAGAUAACUGACACUACGGGGAGCCAUCAAUUUCCAGCCAUGCAACGUCUUUCUAUUUCUAAAGGACAUGCUUUCAUUUUGGUUUACUCUAUCACCAGCCGACAGUCCUUGGAGGAACUUAAACCAAUCUAUGAACAAAUAUGUCAGAUUAAAGGUGAUGUAGAAAGCAUUCCAAUAAUGCUGGUGGGGAACAAAAAUGAUGAGAACCAAAAUCGAGAGGUAGAAAGCAGUGAAGGAGAAGCUACAGCCAAGAAGUGGAAGUGUGCAUUCAUGGAGACCUCUGCCAAGCUGAACCACAAUGUGAAGGAGUUAUUCCAGGAGCUGUUGAACUUAGAGAAACGCAGGACUGUGAGUUUACAAAUUGAUGGCAAAAAAAGCAAGCAGCAGAAAAGGAAAGAGAAGCUGAAGGGCAAAUGUGUAGUCAUGUGAAAUUGCACUGACAGGAGUCUGUCAUGCAUUCUCACCUGUCUGAUAUUACCCAUGUAAAGCCUACACACAGCAAACAACCAGACAAGAUUGUAUUAAUUGGUAUCUGUUUUAAAACAAAUAUUCAGAAUUUGAAAAAAAGAAGAGUUACUGUUGUUACUAUGAAAACAGCCAACAAUUGGAAGAAUUGUGCUCUCUAGAUACCAGUGAAAAAUUCAGGACAAAAAAAGUCAUCUUGAGCAUACUGUCGGAGACUUAGAAAUCAAAAUCAUGAUAUUUAUAUUCUUAUGUAACUACAGUGGAAAGCAGUGUACAAUGCUAUGAAAAAAGAAAAAAACAGGAAAAAAAAAACAGCAAAUGCUCAUGCUAGGAUAUGUAACUGCAUGCUGGAUGAAGUUAUCAUACCCUUCAAGAAUGCUCUGGACAAACAGUUCUGUGCAAUUUUCAGUACUGACUGCUGAGGUAGUGUGAAUAAAGUAAUAAGCUCAGAUCUGCCAAAUGAACUAUUUCUCACCAAAAGGAAGCACAGUUAAAAAAAGUGGAGAUUUUCUCUACCUCCCUGAGCGUGACAUGUCUUUCCUGUAUGAUACAGUGUUUGAAAUAAAGAUGGCGAAAAGCCAGCCUGUGUAGGAUUGAUGGAGAUUUGUCUCCUCAGUACUCAUCAAGCCCGUAAUGACCUGCAAUUUUGACCCCAAGGUAUUUCAGAGAAGAUGCUUGCUGUUGAGGAACAUCAGGAUAUAUAAAAACAGUGUGUACAUGGCUACAGGUAACUUCUUCAGGGAGGACUGGCUGGAGAGUCGCCUACAAAGGCCUUUGUUGGAAAGGCUGAGUUCAAGUACUUCUGAUGGAUAAUCUUUCAACUACUCUGUCAGGGGAUACAUCUCAAAAUAUUUUAAAGGGGAUAAAUGCCCAACAUGUGAGUUUUGCUGGAUAUCUCUCUAAGCUUUUUUUUUUUUCUUUAAAUAAUAGGAAUGACUGAAGUUUGUAUCCUAUUGAUAGCAAAGAACAUGAAAUAUAAAAGAAGCACAUACAUUUCUUAGAGGACAGACAAGAAUUGUAUAAAUACCAUUUGCACCUUAUAAACUGCUUUGACAUAUUAAAACAAAACAUAUUUUUGGGAAACUUCUCUGUCAAAAUCAUACGAUAGGAAAAUGUAGUCUAGUACUAGUAUUAUUAGUAUGCAUGCUGUUGCAUUAUAAAUGUCUUAGAGCUAUUCAAAUACAGCAUUUACAUUGAAAAUUGUUACCUUGUUGCUCUCAAAGCUGCUGCUUAUCUUCUACCUACUGAAGUGUAGACAUUUCAUAGGUAGGGUGACAGUUACAUGUCUUUGAGCAAGAAUUGCUGUUAAUGCUGUUUCUAAAGGAGCAGAAUUUCUGUCAUUCACUCAGAAAAGGUUCUAGCAGCAUUAUUAUCAAGUGUAACCCUCCUAUUGAUUUCAAAGAAGACAGUUUUUGUGUUUAUUUCAUUAGAAAAGUGAAGAAGGAAAAAAGGCUAAGACUCUUCCUUAGCAGUAAAUUUCUCUCUCUUAAGCAAUGCUUCUUCCCCAUUAAUUCCAAAGCGUUUUAUACAUAAGACAGAAUCAUUACCUUAAAUUUGCAGGUGGUGAAUCUGAGGCACAAAGAGAAGAAGCAAGAGCGCAUAGAUUACGCAGCAGUGACAGACUCAGGAAGAAAAGCAGAUCUCUCCAGUCCCACUCAAGUGCUGUCUGCCUUUGCUCAGACUGCCUCUUCAGAUUCUUUGUUUUCAAAAUAUAUAAAGAAGCCUGGUAUAGCUUAUAUGGCUGAGAGCAUCUUCUCCUUCUCAGCGUGUCAGUAGAUCAAACACUAUUUCAGAUCAGGGAUGCAAAACAUUUAAAAGCACUAUCUUUAGUACGUGUUUUCUACAUGUUUAUACAUAUACUCUGUAAACAAAUAUACUUAUCUUUACUGCACUGGAAUCCACUAGCAGAACUGGAAAGUCAAAAGAUUGACCACACUUGGGAGUGGUGGGUCAUACACAGAUUUGAGCAGUACAGAGAUCUCCCACUGACACUAACAGACUGGUGCCUAAGGACACUGUGCCUGAUCCACUCCUAAGUGGUCAGCGUGGAAUAACUACAGAAACAGAAACAAAACAAGGCCAUGUAAAGAAACUAUCAGUUUAGAAUUAUUACUUUAACUGGAGGAAUUAUUUGUAUGAUAAAGAAUCUUGCAGAUCUGAAUUAGACUCCAAAGGUUAUGACUGUAAGUACAUUGCAAACUGAAAUUCAGAUUUUGGCUUUUUUACUGAAUGUGCCUCACAGAAAGAAAAAAGUGUAUGUAGAAGCAGGAAAUAUAGCAAGUAGUUGCCAGUUAUUAGGCUUACGGACUAUUUCAUCUAAUUCCCAGUUGAUUCUUCUCCUGUUACAUAAUAGACCACGGACUAUUUCAUAGAUUUGCAUGUAUCAAACCAAGGCCAGUAGAGAAGCAAUAUUACUCAUGGAACAUAGACUCAAAAAAUAACGUUUUAUACCCUUGCAUUUUCAUCUUAGUUUAUACUACUAGAUUGUACAUAUCUUCCAUAUAUGUGUUUAAAACAUUUGUUGUGUUAUUACUUAUCUUUAUUUUUUUUUUCCUAAUUCAGGAAAAAAUAUAAAGAAAAUACACAGCUUUAUUACAAGAUUGUUUUCUUUGAGAAUGUGAUAUUCAUAUAAUAAUCUAUUUAAAACAUACAGAAGAGAUAUGAUAUAUUUGAAAUGUAAGAUCUGCAGUGGAUUUUAGCACCCAGAUGUUUAGACAAAAUAAGUCUUUACAACGCAUGACUUUUGUAUGUAUAGAAGAUGUAUUAAAUUAUGUAGUUAUCAUGAAAAUGUGUCACUGUGAUUUCAUUAGCAAAUAUUUUAUUCAAAAACUCUGGAUAUUAAGUUGUUUGUGCCUACAAGCUUCUAUGUUUCCAGUGAUGUUCUAAACAUAAGAAAUAAAGUUUUAAAUGAAAAUAUGGUUUGGGAAAAAGC